RNAcentral lists this transfer RNA (71 nucleotides) under Camelus bactrianus (Bactrian camel). It matches the Rfam family "tRNA". From Rfam's summary of the family: Transfer RNA (tRNA) molecules are approximately 80 nucleotides in length. Their secondary structure includes four short double-helical elements and three loops (D, anti-codon, and T loops). Further hydrogen bonds mediate the characteristic L-shaped molecular structure. tRNAs have two regions of fundamental functional importance: the anti-codon, which is responsible for specific mRNA codon recognition, and the 3' end, to which the tRNAs corresponding amino acid is attached (by aminoacyl-tRNA synthetases). tRNAs cope with the degeneracy of the genetic code in two manners: having more than one tRNA (with a specific anti-codon) for a particular amino acid; and 'wobble' base-pairing, i.e. permitting non-standard base-pairing at the 3rd anti-codon position. Lineage: Eukaryota; Metazoa; Chordata; Mammalia; Artiodactyla; Camelidae. The record is from Rfam by way of RNAcentral. RNAcentral also lists the same sequence under 2 other names.
GAGGGUAAGGCUCAGUGGUAGAGGGCGUGCUUAACAUGCAUGAGGUCCUGGGUUCAAUCUCCAGUACAUCA